RNAcentral lists this ribosomal RNA (497 nucleotides) under uncultured bacterium. RNAcentral describes it as "partial 16S ribosomal RNA". It matches the Rfam family "Bacterial small subunit ribosomal RNA", at positions 28 to 507 of the family's 1533-position model. The record is from RNAcentral.
GAUGAACGCUGGCGGCGUGCCUAAUACAUGCAAGUCGAGCGAACAGACGAGGAGCUUGCUCCUCUGACGUUAGCGGCGGACGGGUGAGUAACACGUGGAUAACCUACCUAUAAGACUGGGAUAACUACGGGAAACCGGCGCUACUACCGGAUAAUAUAUUGAACCGCAUGGUUCAAUAGUGAAAGACGGUUUUGCUGUCACUUAUAGAUGGAUCCGCGCCGCAUUAGCUAGUUGGUAAGGUAACGGCUUAACAAGGCAACGAUGCGUAGCAGACCUGAAAGGGUGAUCGGCCACACUGGAAGUGAGACACGGUCCAGACUCCUGCGGGAGGCAGCGGUAGGGAAUCUUCCGCGAUGGACGAAAGGUUGACGGAGCAACGCCGCGUGAGGGAUGAAGGUCUUCGGAUCGGAGAACUCUGUUAUUAGGAAAGAACAAAUGUGUAAGUAACUAUGAACGUCUUGACGGUACCUGAUCAGGAAGCCACGGCUAACUACGUG